UCCGGCUUAUCACCGGCAGUCCCACUAGAGUGCCCAACUGAAUGAUGGCAACUAAUGGCAGGGGUUGCGCUCGUUGCGCCACUUAAGGCAGCACCUCACGGCACGAGCUGACGACAGCCAUGCAGCACCUGUGCAGGCUCCCGAAGGAGCGCCGGCUUUCAUCGGCUUCACCCUGCAUGUCAAGUCCUGGUAAGGUUCUUCGCGUUGCGUCGAAUUAAGCCACAUGCUCCACCGCUUGUGCGGGCCCCCGUCAAUUCCUUUGAGUUUCAGCCUUGCGGCCGUACUCCCCAGGCGGGGCACUUCAUGCGUUAGCGCCGGCACCCAGGGGGUCGCUCCCCCAAGCACCUAGUGCCCAUCGUUUACGGCGUGGACUAC
This 375-nucleotide unclassified non-coding RNA is filed under the name uncultured bacterium. RNAcentral's name for it is "contains 16S-23S intergenic spacer region". The record is from RNAcentral.